RNAcentral lists this unclassified non-coding RNA (480 nucleotides) under Hevea brasiliensis (rubber tree). Lineage: Eukaryota; Viridiplantae; Streptophyta; Magnoliopsida; Malpighiales; Euphorbiaceae. The record is from RNAcentral.
ACCCCAAAAAAAAAGCGCUCUUGUGGCACAAGCCCAUAAAGAAGCCACGAACACUACCUAAUGCCACAGCAAAUAAUAGGACAAUCUUGGGUUGUCUCAAAUGGUCCAAUCAAAUACUCCGAAUGAUCAUAACAAAAAUAUUAGAAACUUUGAUAUCUUUUCUUCCUCCUAAACCCCAUCUUUGUCAAACCAAGAAUUUUCUGAAGACUUUGGAUGUGCUUACUGCACCUCAAAAAUGCUAAAUUGUUCAAGCCACCUCACUGUAUAACCUAUAUUUGCAUUUAUCUUACCAUAUUCAAAUAUUGUAGUUGAUUUCUUCGGAUAGAUUAAAUUUAGAUGUCUUGAUGUUCAAUAGAAAUUAUGCAAGCCACUGUGCUUUAGAUAGAGACUCUUGAAAACGUGCUUGUACAAGGCUUUGGUAUAUUUCUCAAGGAAGAUCAUAAGACGGGUUAUAAUGUUUCUGAUUCUUUUGAAUACCAG